AUGGAGACAUGGCAUAAAGCCAAAGAGAGUGAGAGACAUUAACUCAUUCGGCUGUAACUUGAAUUGAUUCACAUCUCAUUUU
This is a non-coding RNA of Pteropus alecto (black flying fox), 82 nucleotides long. Lineage: Eukaryota; Metazoa; Chordata; Mammalia; Chiroptera; Pteropodidae. The record is from Rfam.